RNAcentral lists this ribosomal RNA (503 nucleotides) under uncultured bacterium. RNAcentral's name for it is "partial 16S ribosomal RNA". It matches the Rfam family "Bacterial small subunit ribosomal RNA", at positions 30 to 523 of the family's 1533-position model. The record is from RNAcentral.
AUUGAACGCUGGCGGCAGGCUUAACACAUGCAAGUCGAGCGGGGUGAUGGUGCUUGCACUAUCACUUAGCGGCGGACGGGUGAGUAAUGCUUAGGAAGCUGCCUAUUAGUGGGGGACAACAUCUCGAAAGGGAUGCUAAUACCGCAUACGUCCUACGGGAGAAAGCAGGGGAUCACUUGUGACAUGGCGCUAAUAGAUGAGCCUAAGUCGGAUUAGCUAGUUGGUGGGGUAAAGGCCUACCAAGGCGACGAUCUGUAGCGGGUCUGAGAGGAUGAUCCGCCACACUGGGACUGCGACACGGCCCAGACUCCUACGGGAGGCAGCAGUGGGGAAUAUUGGACAAUGGGGGGAACCCUGAUCCAGCCAUGCCGCGUGUGUGAAGAAGGCCUUAUGGUUGUAAAGCACUUUAAGCGAGGAGGAGGCUCUUUUGGUUAAUACCCAAGAUGAGUGGACGUUACUCGCAGAAUAAGCACCGGCUAACUCUGUGCCAGCCGCCGCGGUAA